RNAcentral lists this long non-coding RNA (3253 nucleotides) under Bemisia tabaci. RNAcentral's name for it is "lncRNA ENSSSA3NGG006334". Lineage: Eukaryota; Metazoa; Arthropoda; Insecta; Hemiptera; Aleyrodidae. The record is from RNAcentral.
UGAAAGAUAAUUAGAUCCUCAAGGGAAGACAAUGUCAUUCUGCUUUUGUUUUUGCAGUCAUGAAAGUGGUAUUAUUGUUGGGGCUUGUGGCCUUUGCCGCGGUUACAUCCAACCGAGCGAGGCGUGUGGAGAGUGUGACUCAUGUUGGAAUUACAAACAUUGUGAAUAACUGAGUUUCCCGUAAGUUUUGGAUGUUAAGCAUGCUUUCCUUAGAAUAUGUUUAACUUCUCUAAAAUGAUUUAAGACUUUACACUGAUUUUUUGCUUUUCAUUUUCUUGCGUUAUUCUGAUCUGAACUUCAAUCACAAAAUUUGUCAUUAAUACUUCAUGAUGGAAUUGCUGUGCUAUUUUGCAAAUGGUAAAAACUUAAAUGGUAACUAAUGACUAUCCUUAUGCUGUUCCUCCUCUUAUUCCUUUCCUUCCUUUGAUCAGGGCGUAAGUUCUGUUUGCCUAGUCGCAUCACCGCGCCCAAAUAAGUUGAUGGCUGCAUGCGUAAAACCGCUUCAAAAUUAGUACUAACAGCAAAAUAAACAAUUGACUUGAUACCUAACAAUUUUUCGAGGAAAUUAGCACAUUUUUGUGUUUUUUUUACAAACUGCUCUUUCUUUCUUGUAGCUCCGCCUUGUUUUUUUUAACCAAUUUACGAAUAUAAUAGAUAUGAAUAUUCUAAUAAUUCAUAAAGAAAACAUCGGUAUUUCUGUCUUAGUGGGUUGUGAGGAGGUACUAUGCCGUUUUCAUAACCAGAGUAACCCUCAACAAUUUCUGGGGAAAAGGAAAUUCUUGCGGCAUGUUCAACAAAUGUUCGGCCAAGGCUUGCGGCUGUAUUGGAUUAGACAUUGGCCGAAUCGGAGGGCGGACAUUGCAAGGACAAUGGUUCUCCUACCACAGAAAGAAGCACCUGCAGUACAUGCGUCGAUUCUGGGCCCUUGUUAACGAUAACAAUGCUGAGAUGACCUUCUUCUUAGCCGCCGAGGCCUCGUGGAAAGUACCGUUGGUAGUAGUAAAAAAAGUCGUGUGUGAUGAGUGUGGAACCGUCCGCAUAGAAACAUACGUUGUACCGGACACAGAGGUGAAAGUAAGAACUGUGUCCGUCGAGUUUAGAGCUAUCAUGCUUAUCUUAAAGAUUAAGUUUAGGAUAUUGGUGAUUUGCAAUGGCCUAAAAGGAGUUGUCAGUAACAAGCCGUUCGCACUUGUGUUGGCUACGAUGCCGUUCCCGGGUAAGAGCGACACGUGGACCAAGAUAAACGCUGCCUUGCGCCAUUACAACUUCGAUCCGCACAAGAUGAUGUUCCUGAGGCACGACGCCUGCAUCUAUCCACCCUUCGAUUGGGCCAACUCCUGGGUCGCGCCUGCUAACACCAACUGCAACAUUUGCAAAAUUGACAAGUAGUCUCUUUCCCCGGCGUCACUUUAAGACACGUCCCACAACUGCCGUCAAAAAAAGUAGCCUUCUCAAAUUAUGGAGCAAUCCGACCGAAAUUUGGACGCAAAUUUUUAAAUCUUAAGUACUUUUCACAUUAUGUUUUCUUCAUCUAAAAAAGGGUGUUUUUUUCACCAUUCAUUCAGUAUUUUUAAACCUUGGAAAAACGGAACUCGGAAAACUUACCGCUUUUAAAAAUGCUACAUUGUGUAAAAUGAAAUAUAUAAACGUAUUUGCAACAAAAAAAAAUCAUUUGUUCACCUUUGUUGUCAAAACGAAUGGACCACAUUUUGCAAUAAGGAGCCACUAUCUCUGGAUCUUCCAUAAAAACACCUUUCUACAUAGGAAAACCGAGGGCAUUUAUGCUGUUUCUAAAAUGAGCCAGAAAUGUCGGUUCCUUAUUGCAAAAUGUAAUCCAAAUAGAGCAAUCCAAAUCGACAUUCACAAAAUUGACGAGGAUUAUCUGAGAGAAAGCCGGCAUCAUCAAAAAAUUGUCGACAUCAGUAAUUGAAAGAGCACGCGCAUACUGUGCACCCCUACCUUUGCUCAGCAGCGUAACAAUUAGAAAAUAUCGCAUAACCGAGAGUACUGGUAAAAAAAAACAGAUUGGAUCUACAGUCCAGACUCUUGAAAACAUUGACAAGAAAAUUGACUCUUGAUUCAAUCAGAUUUAAGCUUAAUCAAAAGGAAAUCCGCUCAAAUUAAGAGGCCUGGUUCUUGAUUUAAGCUUAAAUCAAAUUGAAUCAAGAGUCCAUUUUCUUGUCAAUGUUUUCAAGAGUCUGGACUCUAGAUCCAAUGUGUUUUUUUUUACCAGUGAAAGAUACCACGGUGGCAAGUCAUUUUUCCUGUUCCCUGCUGCAAGUUUUUCUGAUAGUUUUUUCCUACUCGUUUUUUGUCCCAUCACAGUCAGUCCUACAAGUAAGAUGUCUUACUGGCUUUUUUCCUAGGGGUAUUUGUUCAAAAUUAAUUUUUUUAAAAAAAAGAACAUAGAAUACAUAGAUAUACCUCACAAGUUAAAAUUGUGGCUGUAUUCGCCGCAUGCCCGAAAGAAGCUUCAUCCUUUUCCUUUGUAUUGAGGGUAUAGAAGGUUCAGAUUAUGCUGUCUCCUGUUCACGUGCUUAUAUUCGGCUCGCUGAGGACAUUUUACACUUUCUGAAACAUUUCCUUCUGCUCUACUAAUGUUUAAGUUCAAUAAUUAUUGGAUUAUUGGGACAAACACCCUUAGGAAAAAAGCCAGUGGGGCAUCUCACUCGUAGGACUUACUGUAAUGGGACAAAUAUACGAAUAGGAAAAAAGUAUUAGGAAAACCUGACGUAGGAAAACAGACUUAGGAAAAAUGACCUAGCACUGAUUCCACCACCACGAAGAUACCAACCGAGAGCCUAUCAUCAUAUUUUGGUAUCGCUGGUCCCACAAUUCAUUAAUUUGUGCAUGAUUAUUUAAGCGCUCACCAUGGGUCACCUUAGUAGGCACCCAUAUCAUGCGACCUUUAUCGCCGUUGCGAGAGCACAACAAAUCAGUUCGCCUUCAAUUUGUUACAUAUGCAACACGAACAUCUAGGACCACGAAUAGUUGCAUCAUGGAUCCAUGGAUUAUAUUGAUGGUGAAUUGAAGGCGAACUUGAGGAGAUAGUUGUAGCGCAAAAAGUGAACGAACUUUCAACGAGUGCCGGGCUAAAUGUUUCGAGGGCACCCUCCGAAUGCCAUACGUGAUUCGGACGAUUGCGUGACGUCUGGUCCAUGAAUAUUAUAUGAACCGCCAUCUAUUUCUUUGUAAUCAUCCUUUUUAUACCACUCCGAUUCGAUACACUCCGCCUAUUCCAAUAUACUCGGAC